GCGCCCUUAGCUCAGCUGGAUAGAGCAGCCGCCUUCUAAGCGGCUGGUCGCAGGUUCGAGUCCUGCAGGGCGCGCCA
This 77-nucleotide transfer RNA is filed under the name Deinococcus maricopensis DSM 21211. RNAcentral describes it as "tRNA-Arg (TCT) (tRNA-Arg-TCT-1-1)". It matches the Rfam family "tRNA". From Rfam's summary of the family: Transfer RNA (tRNA) molecules are approximately 80 nucleotides in length. Their secondary structure includes four short double-helical elements and three loops (D, anti-codon, and T loops). Lineage: Bacteria; Thermotogati; Deinococcota; Deinococci; Deinococcales; Deinococcaceae. The record is from RNAcentral.